AAUGGUGCACGCUUUUAAUACCAGCACUUGGGAGACAGACACAGGUGGCCUGGUCUACAGACUGAGUUUCUAGACAGCCAGGGUUAUACACAGAGGAGCCCUCUCUUGAAUACCCAAGGAAAAAAAGAGAGAUUUAUUUUAUUUUUAAAUGAUCUGUAUUGGGUUGGUGUGUUCAUGUGUGAAUGGCCCUGGAGGUCAGAACAAUGCUUCAGAUUCCCAGGGUCUGGGGUGACAGGCAGGUGGUGUAAGCCACUCACAUGGCUUCUGGGUCCUCUUCAAUGGCAGUGUUUCUUAAAGUCUUUCAUAAUAUUUAAAUUGUAAGGCUUUCAAUGAAAGUAACAAAAGUGUCCAACUGAUGAAUGAGGUAAAGAAAAUCUAAUAUCAAAUACAAUGAAACCUGUUCAGAUACAAGGAUGAAAUCUUUUAGUUUGUGACCACCUGAAUGGAUCUGGAGGAUACUGUGUUAAGCUAAAUAAACCCGAGACAAAAAGGCUCCACGAGUUCACCCAUAUGGAAUCUUAAAACCUUGAUCUUCUAGAACUUAACAGUAGAAUAGUUGUCUGCAGAAGCUGGGGAGGGAGGACACAGACUUCAUUGUGGGGAUCAGUGAAGAGCCCUCGAUCCUGUGAAAACAUGGUGGAGAGACAAUCCUUCACUGUGAGCCUUUAUGUUCAUGACAACACAACCCGGCAUGUAUAGAUCUCCUAAUUUCUCAGCCGCUUCUGACAUGGGGGCUCCUAAUUCUUGUUCAGAUGAAGCAAAGAGUAUAAGUUUGUGGAUGAAUCUCCCACGACUCAUGCAGCUCCAGAGCCCUGGAAAUGUCCCAAUCGUGGGAAAAGGAUCCAGAUUUUAAAAGGAUAUUCUCCACUCUUCCUCGAAGAUAGGAACGACCGCAGGAGAGUGGCUGGCAGAGAGUGCUGGCAGAGACUGUAGGAGUGGUGACAGCCAGUCACAGGUGGUACUGGUAAGUAGCAGCUUUCUUAAAGGAGUUUCAGGCUCAGAUCUCCUCUUCUACUGAGGCUGCGGCGGCCAUCUGUAACUAGCCAAGAAAGAAAAGCCAGGAGACUGGCAGCGUACUCUGUUUUAAUGACCUUGAGUUGUCUCACAGCCCCUGGCCUUCUCCCUUGGGUCUUCUAUAAGCCAUGGCUUCUUCAGGCAUUGUAUUAAAAGUAGGCAAACUCAUUCUUCUUCU
RNAcentral lists this long non-coding RNA (1192 nucleotides) under Mus spicilegus (steppe mouse). RNAcentral's name for it is "lncRNA (ENSMSIG00000029262.1)". Lineage: Eukaryota; Metazoa; Chordata; Mammalia; Rodentia; Muridae. The record is from RNAcentral.